This 275-nucleotide ribosomal RNA is filed under the name uncultured bacterium. RNAcentral's name for it is "partial 16S ribosomal RNA". It matches the Rfam family "Bacterial small subunit ribosomal RNA", at positions 399 to 691 of the family's 1533-position model. The record is from RNAcentral.
GCGUGAGUGAUGAAGGCCUUAGGGUUGUAAAGCUCUUUCAGUGGGGACGAUAAUGACGGUACCCGCAGAAGAAGCCCCGGCUAACUUCGUGCCAGCAGCCGCGGUAAUACGAAGGGGGCUAGCGUUGUUCGGAAUCACUGGGCGUAAAGGGCGCGUAGGCGGCUUUAUAAGUCGGGGGUGAAAGCCUGUGGCUCAACCACAGAAUUGCCUUCGAUACUGUAUGGCUUGAGACCGGAAGAGGUUAGUGGAACUGCGAGUGUAGAGGUGAAAUUCGU